GUUUCAUAUAUCCCCGCAAGUUCCGCAGGCUUACACUGGACUCCCUUUGCUUUUGCAGGGAGACUGAUUCAUAAUUAUCGACCUGCAGGACGCCUAUUUCCACAUAUCCAUUCAUCGGGACCAUCAGAAAUUCCUCCGGUUUCAUUUCAACGGCACCGCUUUCCAAUUCUGUGCCCUCCUGUUUGGGCUCUCCACCGCCCCCCGGACUUUCACCAAGCGCAUGGCACCGGUGGCUGCUUUCCUCCGACUACAGGGAGUAAACAUUUAUCCCUACAUCAAUGACUGGUUGAUAGUGGCGACAUCGUACCAUGACGCCAUUAAAGCACAAGACACAACGCUCCACACGCUUCACAGUCUUGGCCUCAAGAUCAACCGCGAGAAGUCGCACUUGAUCCCAAAGCAGACGGCCAAGUUCAUAGACAUGGAAAUAGACUCCCUCCGUGCAAGAGCUUUCCUGCCUCCAGACAGGAUCAGGAAAAUCCAAAUGGCUGUCCACCUUUUCCAAACACAUCACUCCAUUUCGGCGCAUCAUGCCCAAUACCUCCUGGGGCUCAUGGCGUCGACGACGACUGUCGUCCAACACGCCAGGCUCAAAAUGAGAUCCCUGCAGGCAUGGUUCCUUUCCCUGUUCAAUCCCGAAACAGAUCUCCCUUCCACCCUACUGCAGGUGAUACCAGAACUAGCCUCCCUGCUCGACUGGUGGACUUGCCCCGACAACCUCCUCAUCAGCAGUCUUUUCUCGCCUCUCAGACCUUCCAUACAGGUCACAACCAAUGCCAGCCCCAUGGGGUGGGGCGCACACUGCCUUCAAUACACAGUCCACGGACUCUGGUCAAAUCAAGAGCUGCCACUUCACAUAAACCAUCUAGAACUGUUGGCAAUCAUCAAAGCAUUCCAUGCCUUUCUUCCCCUCAUCCGAGGUCAGGUAGUGCAGUUGGCAACAGACAACACCACUGCACUAUUUUAUGUCAACAAACAAAGAGGUACCCACUCCCCUUCUCUGCUCUACCUAGCUGUCGACCUCUGGGAGUGCUGCUAUUCCCAUCAUGUUUUCCCUAUUGCCGUCCACAUUUCCACUGACAACAACACCCUGGCAGAUUGGCUCAGUCAGCUGAGAACACAUGAAUGGACU
Molecule: long non-coding RNA, 1132 nt
Filed under: Pogona vitticeps (central bearded dragon)
Lineage: Eukaryota; Metazoa; Chordata; Lepidosauria; Squamata; Agamidae
Description: lncRNA (ENSPVIG00000004995.1)
Source: RNAcentral